RNAcentral lists this ribosomal RNA (398 nucleotides) under Bacillus sp. (in: firmicutes). Its description in RNAcentral is "bacterial SSU rRNA". It matches the Rfam family "Bacterial small subunit ribosomal RNA", at positions 555 to 952 of the family's 1533-position model. Lineage: Bacteria; Bacillati; Bacillota; Bacilli; Caryophanales; Bacillaceae. The record is from RNAcentral.
UGGGCGUAAGCGCGCGCAGGCGGUUUCUUAAGUCUGAUGUGAAAGCCCACGGCUCAACCGUGGAGGGUCAUUGGAAACUGGGGAACUUGAGUGCAGAAGAGAAAAGCGGAAUUCCACGUGUAGCGGUGAAAUGCGUAGAGAUGUGGAGGAACACCAGUGGCGAAGGCGGCUUUUUGGUCUGUAACUGACGCUGAGGCGCGAAAGCGUGGGGAGCAAACAGGAUUAGAUACCCUGGUAGUCCACGCCGUAAACGAUGAGUGCUAAGUGUUAGAGGGUUUCCGCCCUUUAGUGCUGCAGCUAACGCAUUAAGCACUCCGCCUGGGGAGUACGGUCGCAAGACUGAAACUCAAAGGAAUUGACGGGGGCCCGCACAAGCGGUGGAGCAUGUGGUUUAAUUC